AAGAGAGCAGUCUAUUGACAGUCGGUUACUCGAAAUCUUUACUGUCAUGGAGGCGCUCUCUUCA
This 64-nucleotide microRNA precursor is filed under the name Caenorhabditis elegans. RNAcentral describes it as "Cel-Mir-281-P4_pre stem-loop". It matches the Rfam family "mir-46/mir-47/mir-281 microRNA precursor family", at positions 15 to 72 of the family's 85-position model. Rfam says of the family: The hairpin precursors (represented here) are predicted based on base pairing and cross-species conservation -- their extents are not known. In this case the mature sequences are expressed from the 3' arms of the hairpin precursors. The record is from RNAcentral. Lineage: Eukaryota; Metazoa; Nematoda; Chromadorea; Rhabditida; Rhabditidae.